AGUGAACGCUGGCGGUAGGCCUAACACAUGCAAGUCGAACGGCAGCACAGUAAGAGCUUGCCCUUACGGGUGGCGAGUGGCGGACGGGUGAGGAAUACAUCGGAAUCUACUUUUUCGUGGGGGACAACGUAGGGAAACUUACGCUAAUACCGCAUACGACCUACGGGUGAAAGCAGGGGAUCUUCGGACCUUGCGCGAUUGAAUGAGCCGAUGUCGGAUUAGCUAGUUGGCGGGGUAAAGGCCCACCAAGGCGACGAUCCGUAGCUGGUCUGAGAGGAUGAUCAGCCACACUGGAACUGAGACACGGUCCAGACUCCUACGGGAGGCAGCAGUGGGGAAUAUUGGACAAUGGGCGCAAGCCUGAUCCAGCCAUACCGCGUGAGUGAAGAAGGCCUUCGGGUUGUAAAGCCCUGUUGUUGGGAAAGAAAUCCAGCCUGCUAAUACCUGGUUGUGAUGACGGUACCCAAAGAAUAAGCACCGGCUAACUUCGUG
This 492-nucleotide ribosomal RNA is filed under the name uncultured bacterium. RNAcentral's name for it is "partial 16S ribosomal RNA". It matches the Rfam family "Bacterial small subunit ribosomal RNA", at positions 29 to 507 of the family's 1533-position model. The record is from RNAcentral.